RNAcentral lists this ribosomal RNA (371 nucleotides) under uncultured Glomeromycotina. RNAcentral describes it as "eukaryotic LSU rRNA". The record is from RNAcentral. Lineage: Eukaryota; Fungi; Glomeromycota.
UUGAAAGGGAAACGAUUGAAGUCAGUCGUACCGACGAGAAAUCAACUUAUCGUGUGCGAACUUGUGGGCGUGCGUGAGUUUCGGCCUCGCUGUUUGCAUGUUUGUGCGUUUUGGGUGUACUUUUUCGUAUGGUAGGCCAACGUCAGUUUCGAUUAUCAUAAAAUGACCGGUGGAAUGUAGCUUCGAUUUCGGUUGAAGUGUUAUAGCCUCUGGUAGAUGUGGUGAUUUAGACUGAGGGUUGCAACGAAUACCCUUUAGGCUAUCCGUCUGGCCUCUGAAAGUUGCUCAGGUGCCGAAAGCGUGCUUACGGUCAUCUAAGAUAACGUUCAACAGGUUAGAACGUGAUUACAUUCGUUAAGGAUGUUGACGUA